Molecule: unclassified non-coding RNA, 727 nt
Filed under: Centruroides sculpturatus (bark scorpion)
Lineage: Eukaryota; Metazoa; Arthropoda; Arachnida; Scorpiones; Buthidae
Description: dNA replication licensing factor Mcm6-like, transcript variant X1
Source: RNAcentral
CGGGAAAAGUCAUUGUUCGAUCGGGAGCGAAAAACAUGGAUGUAGCAGAUUCAAGAACAGGUCCUAAACAUUUGAGUGAUGAUGUGGGAGAUCGUUGUCAAAAAUUAUUUCAAGAUUUCUUGGAAGAAUUUAAGAAUGAACAGAAUGAAUUAAAAUAUAUUGAAGAUGCACGAAAUUUAGUAAAACCGGAACGAAGUACAUUACAAAUAAAUUUUCCAGAUGUUGAAAGUUAUAAUCAGAAUUUGGCACAGGCAAUACAAGAGGAUUAUUAUAGAGUUUAUCCAUAUCUUUGUAAUGCUGUUAGAAAUUUUGUGAAAGAUAGAAUUGAAGUGAAUGUGGAAAAACAAUUUUAUGUGAGUUUUGUAGGUGUACAUAUCUUGCACAAAUUACAUACGUUUGGAUAAUUAUAAUGAAAUAUUUGUUAUAUGCAAUGAUUUACAGUGGGUAAUUGGAUAACGAACACUUUCGAGAAAGAUUUUUAUGUUCGGACAACGAACACCUCACAGAAUAAACACAAGAAGAAGCGAUGUAAAAUAAUGAAUACUGAUUGAUUUUCUCUUGUCUUCAGGUGAGAGUAUAAUAACAAAGAUAGAGAGUGGGCAGAAGAUGCCUAAUGUUGCUAGGCAGUAUGGUGCAAACAGGUGUACAGUAGGCCGAAAUUCAAUCUUACUGUAUUUAAGAAAAAUACAGUAUAAUCAAGAAAACUCAAGCAGCUAAAGGAAUAACA